Molecule: ribosomal RNA, 253 nt
Filed under: uncultured bacterium
Lineage: Bacteria
Description: partial 16S ribosomal RNA
Rfam family: Bacterial small subunit ribosomal RNA
Source: RNAcentral
UACAGAGGUCCCAAGCGUUGUUCGGAUUCACUGGGCGUAAAGGGUGCGUAGGCGGUCGAGUAAGUCUGAUGUGAAAUCUCCAAGCCUAACUUGGAAACUGCAUUGGAUACUAUCCGGCUAGAGGAAUGGAGGGGAGACUGGAAUACUUGGUGUAGCAGUGAAAUGCGUAGAUAUCAAGUGGAACACCAGUGGCGAAGGCGAGUCUCUGGACAUUUCCUGACGCUGAGGCACGAAAGCCAGGGGAGCAAACGGG